Molecule: long non-coding RNA, 1045 nt
Filed under: Triticum aestivum (bread wheat)
Lineage: Eukaryota; Viridiplantae; Streptophyta; Magnoliopsida; Poales; Poaceae
Description: long non-coding RNA (TAES_LNC025091)
Source: RNAcentral
CCACCCAUAUCACCAAUUGCAUUCACAAGUAUCCCAUUCGUACAAUUAGCAUACUUAGUAACAAAUCCAAUGUACUAGUUAGUAGGAACAAACAUCUUGAGUUCACAACUGAAUCAAAUUAGACAUUCAUAUGAAAGAUGCAAAUAAUUAAGAAAUUAUACUGAAAACUAGAACUAAGUUUUCCUAUGAAGCUAAAAUCUAUACAUAAUAUAUAAUAUUUGUUCACUUAAAGACUAGAUCUUCUUUCUGUAGUUCCUCCUGGCUCCUGGAAUGCACUCCUGUUCUAAAUCUUCAGCUACCCUGAAAAAAGAAAGAUAACAUAGAAACUUUCAGAACAUAAGCUUUCAGUCUAGUGUAAGAAGAAAUGCUGAACUGCCAGGUGAUUCUUCAACUUUGUUGUCUGAUUCAUGUGGGAGGUCACUGCCAACUACUCUUCCAUUCAGAUCAACCUAAAACAAGAAUAUGAUAAUAAUAUAUUAAUUCUCAUACUUUUAUCUUUGUAGAAAGAGAUGUGGCUAAGAUACCAACUUCAUCACUUCCCUCAGUUACAAAGUCAUUUCUCCAAUCCUCUCCAGGGAAUUUUUGCUUCAGGAACGAACUCAUCAUAGCCAUCUCAUAUGUCAUGUUUUCUACAUUAUCACCUAGUGCCCGCAGUGCAAACUAAACAUUUUCUCCUUUCUAAGAAUGCCGAACAAAAGUCAGUCCCUGAGAGACUUUAUUUUGCUCCAAUACUUAUCACCAUAAUACCCUCAAAGUUUUUCACUUCUUCCCCAUGCACACUUUUAAAUACUUCUCUAUUAUCUUCCCAUGAAAGGCUCCCAUUGUUAUCUUUUGUUUUCUUUCUUCCAGUUUCUCCUGCUGUUGAAAUAAAUAUAAACAUCUCAUUAUACUAAGUAUUAAAUUAAAACCUUUACUUUAAUCACAAGUAGAAGUAUACCAUCACUUUCUUCGUAAGAAAUCAUUAAUUUUCUGGAGGGCCUUGUAAAUUUUCUUCAUCUGCUUGUACACUAUCAACAGCCUGCACUGGGAUGUUCAGGCUUCGAAG